This 496-nucleotide ribosomal RNA is filed under the name uncultured bacterium. RNAcentral describes it as "partial 16S ribosomal RNA". It matches the Rfam family "Bacterial small subunit ribosomal RNA", at positions 28 to 506 of the family's 1533-position model. The record is from RNAcentral.
GAUGAACGCUGGCGGCGUGCCUAAUACAUGCAAGUCGAGCGAACAGACGAGGAGCUUGCUCCUCUGACGUUAGCGGCGGACGGGUGAGUAACACGUGGAUAACCUACCUAUAAGACUGGGAUAACUUCGGGAAACCGGAGCUAAUACCGGAUAAUAUAUUGAACCGCAUGGUUCAAUAGUGAAAGACGGUUUUGCUGUCACUUAUAGAUGGAUCCGCGCCGCAUUAGCUAGUUGGUAAGGUAACGGCUUACCAAGGCGACGAUGCGUAGCCGACCUGAGGGGGUGAUCGGCCACCCUGGGACUGAGACACGGUCCAGACUCCUACGGGAGGCAGCAGUAGGGACUCUUCCGCAAUGGGCGAAAGCCUGACGGAGCAACGCCGCGUGAGUGAUGAAGGUCUUCGGAUCGUAAAACUCUGUUAUUAGGGAAGAACAAAUGUGUAAGUAACUAUGCACGUCUUGACGGUACCUAAUCAGAAAGCCACGGCUAACUACGU